RNAcentral lists this ribosomal RNA (1360 nucleotides) under uncultured archaeon. RNAcentral's name for it is "bacterial SSU rRNA". It matches the Rfam family "Archaeal small subunit ribosomal RNA". The record is from RNAcentral.
UUCCGGUUGAUCCCGCCGGAGGCCAUUGCUAUCGGAAUCCGAUUUAGCCAUGCUAGUCGCACGGGUUUAGACCCGUGGCGAACAGCUCAGUAACACGUGGCCAAACUGCCCUGUGGACGGGGAUAAUCUCGGGAAACUGAGGAUAAUCCCCGAUAGGGCUUCCGUCCUGGAGUGGAGGAAGUCCGAAAGUUGCGCUGCGGCACCACAGAAUGUGGCUGCGGCCGAUUAGGUAGACGGUGGGGUAACGGCCCACCGUGCCAGUAAUCGGUACGGGUGAUGAGAGUCAGAGCCCGGAGACGGUAUCUGAGACAAGAUACCGGGCCCUACGGGGCGCAGCAGGCGCGAAACCUUUACACUGCACGACAGUGCGAUAGGGGGAUUCCGAGUGCGAGGGCAUACAGUCCUCGCUUUUCUGGACCGUAAGGAGGUCCAAGAAUAAGGGCUGGGCAAGACCGGUGCCAGCCGCCGCGGUAAUACCGGCGGCCCGAGUGAUGGCCGAUAUUAUUGGGCCUAAAGCGUCCGUAGCUGGCCGGGGAAGUCCGUCGGGAAAUCCACUCGCUCAACGAGUGGGCGUCCGGCGGAAACUCUCCGGCUUGGGACCGGAAGACCGAAGGGGUACGUCCGGGGUAGGAGUGAAAUCCUGUAAUCCUGGACGGACCACCGGUGGCGAAAGCGCCUUCGGAAGACGGAUCCGACAGUGAGGGACGAAAGCUAGGGUCUCGAACCGGAUUAGAUACCCGGGUAGUCCUAGCCGUAAACGAUGUUCGCUAGGUGUGGCACUGGCUACGAGCCAGUGCUGCGCCGUAGGGAAGCCGAGAAGCGAACCGCCUGGGAAGUACGUCUGCAAGGAUGAAACUUAAAGGAAUUGGCGGGGGAGCACUACAACCGGAGGAGCCUGCGGUUUAAUUGGACUCAACGCCGGACAUCUCACCAGCCCCGACUACGGUAAUGACGGUCAGGUUGAUGACCUCAUCACGAGCCGUAGAGAGGAGGUGCAUGGCCGCCGUCAGCUCGUACCGUGAGGCGUCCUGUUAAGUCAGGCAACGAGCGAGACCCGCACUCCUAAUUGCCAGCAGCAGUCUCGACUGGCUGGGUACAUUAGGAGGACUGCCAGUGCUAAACUGGAGGAAGGAACGGGCAACGGUAGGUCAGUAUGCCCCGAAUGGGCUGGGCUACACGCGGGCUACAAUGGCCGGGACAAUGGGUCGCCACCUCGAAAGAGGGCGCUAAUCUCAGAAACCCGGUCGUAGUUCGGACUGAGGGCUGAAACUCGCCCUCACGAAGCUGGAUUCGGUAGUAAUCGCCGUUCACCAGACGGCGGUGAAUACGUCCCUGCUCCUUGCACACACCGCCCGUCAAG